AAAACCAACUGCAAAUUCACUCUCAAUCUUUUGACAUCUAAGAAACGCUAGCAGAUGCUCUAAAUCCUAAUUUACAAGCAUCCAAGCACUAUUUUCUUAAUAUCUCAAGAAUCCAAUACUCAAAUAUCAUUAAAAUUAUGCACAAAGCUUACUAACAUGAAAUUACACAUUUCCUGAAAUUUUGAGCCAUAACCUUAUCAAAUUGCUCAAGAUAUAGCUCAAGACACAACCACUUGUAAAUUGGGUCACUUACUACCUUUAGAUUGUAUAUGCUGACUUUAAAAUCUAAUAACUCCUUUAUUUUAACUUGGAAUCCAGUAAGCAGUAUGUAAAAAGUAUAGCCGUAAAAGUGCUCUCUUUAAUCACAGUUGCCGAUCCUCAAUUUCUAUGUGUACGUGUGCGUUAUGCCAAAAAGAGUGAUAAUAGCUCUCAAAUCAAUACCUUAAGUUUGAGCACUUAUAUUCCCUUUAUAUAAACUCCAAACCAUACAAAAUUUGUACCAAAACCAUAGUCAAAAACCUAAACUUACUCAUCCUAGCCUUCAAAGCUCAAAUGGCCUCAAAAAUCUAACCCUAAUCUCUAAUAUGGCCUCGAGCAGCCUCCUCAAAGUCUAUUGGUCAUGAUUUUUGACCAAUAGGAAUAGAUAUUUUCAUCAUUCAUCUCCAUUCAUCUAUAUUAGUGCCUUAGUUACUCUCUUUGCUACCAAAACUCUUCUUCAAUCUUUUUUCUUUAUAAGAUUUAUAUAAUUUAUGCUCUAAACAUCAAAUAAAAGAACCAAAAUAAGUUUCCAAAGGUCACCAAUGUCUAACAAAAGUGACUUUAAAUAUUUAGAAGUUACUAUCAACAAAAACCAAUCUUAAAAGCUUCUAUCAAAAGGAAAUUAAAGUUAUACAAAUUCUAUAGUAAUCUUUAUAAACAACUUCUUCUCAAGAUAAUAAUCAAAUUAUAUUCUACAACCAACUAAAAUCUACUGACAUGGCUCUCACCAUGUUACUUAAUAAAUUAUAUAUUAAAUACAUAAUUACAUUAUUUUCAUAUAAUAGCUAAACCAUAACACGACAUCUAUCCCCUCUAAACCUGUGCAUCCUCCGGGGUCGUAUUACAUGCUUUCCUACUCGAGAACGCGUCGGACGUCUGGCUGUAGAAGGUAGUAUGGAGAUUCGCUAAUAUUCAAGCAGUCUAUCAGUUUUUGACUGUUGGAAUACAAACGAUUGCAAGAAUAUAUCGUAAAUCUAUAUGGAUGUCCUUCGAUUGCUUGCCAAAAUCUUUUUUGCCCCAGCCAGUAGGUCUCUAGAUAUUACAAAGAAUUUUGAACAACCCAAUCUGCUAAUCUCUGAUACCGCUUUAUACUCACGACCUUGUAUCCACUAACUGUCUUGUUAGAUUAACCCAAAAAUUUUCAUUCACUCCGCAUACUCAAUCCUAUAAACACCCUUUUAAUUCUUCAAUCACAGACGUAACUUCGAUUUCACAAAAUAGUCAAGAGUAAUCACACCCACUUCAUUAAAACCCCGAUUCACCAGUACAACACUAACUUCAGCAACGAUUGCCUCAGUCUUCCCAAAACCCUAUGAAGAAAAAAAAACCCAUUUUUCUGUCUUUUUUCCCCACCCGAAGCAUGAAGCUCUCUCCGAUCCUUUUCAAAAACUUAUUCUCUCCAAAAAAACCUUCAUUUCUUAACCUAUCCUCCCCUUUAACCCUAGCCUCUAAAUUUCUUCAAUCUUCCGUCUUGGAUCCGAAAUUGGCUCUCCCGUCAGAGCUUUUUCCUCCGUUUUUACCUUUAAGAGAUCUUUUUACCGAAGGGACGUUCCCGGAACGUCACAAGGAACAGGACAGCCUGAAACAGAAUCGAAACCUCAUAAUCAGGACAACAUUGAGUCGCCCGACCAAUUCACGUCUCAUAUUGGAUAAGAGGCUUGUAGUAACUUGGAUGUUCUCGAAAUUCGACCGCAUUGGGUUGUCCGACCAAUUCAGGUCUCAUAUUGGGUAAGAAGCCCGAAGUAACCUAGAUGUUUCCGAAAUUGGACCGCAUUGGGUUGCCCGACCAAUUCAGGUCUCAUAUUGGGUAAGACCUAGAUUGGAUGUCUUGAAAUUGGAUCCAAUUGGUUCUUCGAACCAGGCUCAUCCGUCGUUGAAUUGGUCCUUCCCCUUCUUGAUGACUCCCGUCAUUGGAAUCGAACGGAGCAUUUCAGUAUGCCCCGGCUGACUGUAAUGGGGUGAGUGAACCUAGCCUCUCAAUAUUUGCACUGGAAUUGGUCGUUGCUCCCAAUAUUCGAGGUAACUGAACAUUAAUAAAAGUCGUCUUUCUUUAUAUUUUCACAGUAUACUCGUGUUACAACAGGACACCGGUAUGUACCAAAAAGAAUCAAAGUUGUAGUCGGCGUCAUAACCUCCUCAAUAAUGUCUUCUUCAAAAUCCAAUUCUUUUUCCUCAUACCUAGAUAGAUCAAAUUUUCCUUCAACAUCUUCGAGGACUAGUUCUUGAUCCCAUUGUUUGAAAAGUUUGAUACUUUUUUCUACAAUUAAAAUUUUGAAUUUUAUUCCAUUUAAUUCCUUUAAUUCAUAUGUAGCAUUGUUCAAAACAUGUACAACCACAUAAGGUCCAAACCAAUGCUUAGAGAACCUUUUAAGAGCACUAUGUUAGUUAUCCAAGCUAUUGUCAUAUACCAAAGCCCAAUCAUCUUCUUGAAUAGCUUUUGGCCUCAACCUAUGUCGCUUAUCAAAUCUAUCUUUAUUCUUCAAGUACGACUCCCUCAGCCUUAUAAUUACUUUUUUCACAUCUUCAGGUCUUCUCUCUAGUUGACGAAUUCGAAGUACAAGAAGUUCUUCUUUAGAUAUAUUGUCUUGCCAAGGCAAGAUACUCCAAGUAGAUAUUUGCUCUUCAAUUGGUAUAAUAGGCUUCUAUCCUUGUAUUAACUCUGUCGGCAUAUAUCCUGUUACUGAACUAUAAGUAGUACGAUUAGCUCAAAGAUCAAAUAAUAAUAGUCUUGGCCAUUCUCUUAGUCUUCCUUUGCAAGCUUUAACAAUGGCCCUUAUAAUAGGAGGAUGACCUUGCUCAUUCUUAACAUUACCUUCUGGAUUAUAAGAUGUAAUAAGUACUAGCUUGACUCCACAUCUCUCAAAGAACUAUCUAGCCUCAUGUGCAUCCAAUUCUCUACAAUUAGCAGUAAUUUUUCCAAUACAUCCAUAUCUACAAAUCACAUCUUUCAAUAAAAAUCUACAAACUCCUUCAACAGAUUUUGUUCAUAGAGCUCUUCCUUCUACUUGGUUAGUUAAAUCUUCUCGUACCAAAGCCAAGUACUACAUUUGCCAUAUCUCCAUGGGCAUAGUAACUAGAUCCACAAUCCAUUUAUAAUGUAUUGCAAGUAGAUUUGUAAGAUGCAAUCCAUCUCUAUGUCGAAUCUCUGAGUAUAUCUGACAAGUUUGGCAUGAUUCUACAAACUUCAUCACAUCUCUAUACAUGUUAUGCCACCAAUAUUUUUCUUUGAGCAUAUUAAAGGUGGCAUAAAUACUUCUAUAUCUAGCCCACAAACUAUCAUGGAAUUCAUGGAUUAAUUUUUUUUGCAUCUCUUUCUUGCAAACUAUUCUUUGUGGCAUUCUACUAUCCCAUUUACAUCACUUCCAUAAGUAACCACCUUGUAAGAAGUAGUUGUAAGACUUCUAUCUAAUCUGUUUGGAAUGAACAUCAUGUCUUAACUUACAAGACAAAUUAUCUAUGUAUGAGCCACAUAGUAGGCUUGUUUCACAAGCUAUUAUAUAGAAUUAACUUGUUCUAGAAGCUACCAACAUAUAAUUAACUUGUUAGCCAAGUUUUUAACCUAUGUUUGGUGAUUUUAUUAGAAUGACUUUUUAUAGUUUCAUAGAUGUUUUAUUUGAAAGAAGUUACAAAGGCCUCAACAAUGACCAAAUAAUGGAAUAGUCUUCUUGUCCUAGAAUAGAACAUUAUUGAUGGCUAAUAAGACCUAUCAACCACCUUCAAAAGAAACAAAGAUUAAAAUAUGUGGCAAAAAUAAUUUGCUGCAUUUUUAACUUCUUCAACAUAUGAUGAUUGUUCUUCAUGAAACUCAUCCCUAGAAAGGAGGAUAAUGUCAUGGACAACAUAUUUAUUUAGAUAAGAAGUAUUAGGUAUAAGAUAAAUGUAUUUAUUUAUUUAUAUUUAUUUAUAUUUAUUUAUAUUUAUAAGAUAAAUGUACUUAUUUAUUUAUAUUUUGUAAUCUUUCUUUGAGUGAAGGCUCACUUGACUGAAUUGCUUUUUCAUCGAGUUCUUGUCCUUGACAUAUCAUGGUUAUUAUCUUUUUGUGAAUGAAGAGAUCCAAUACUAGAUAAUUGAGAUCUUUUUUUGGUGGAUUUUUGAUCCAUGUAUAGAGAACAUGAUAUAAUUCGUGUUACAACCAAUAAGAUCCGUAUUUUACGACAAGGUAAUCGAUAAGUAACGUUGUAUGCUUUACUAUUUUGAUAUCAUAACAUUUCCUUCAAAUUCAAUCAUUUUAGGUUUAUCAAGGAUAGAAAAAUAUAAUUCUAAAAUAGAUUGGACUUCUCAUAGUCAUGCCUUUUCUGAAAGUAUAACUAAGAGCGUAGUUAAUCAAGUAGAAAGUCAUAAGUCUAGUAUAAUUAAACUUAUAUUUGUAGGUGCAAGAGCUUUCUUGCAUGUUGCAAAAGAAGGAUCAUCUUGUGUCAUUUAUGCCACACCUGUUUCUACUAUUAGAAAGACUCUAAGUAGCAUUCUAAGCCAAUAACAAGAUUUUCAAGAUAUAUUUGAAAAGAAAAAUGUGGAUACUCUUCCGGAAAAUCGUUCCUAUAAUUGCUUAAUUGAGCUUCAAAAAAGAGCACAAUUGCCAUUUGGACCAAUCUAUAAUUUAUCACAAAAUGAGUUGACUGAACUCAAGGACAAUAUUGAAGAGAAUCUGGCCAAGAACUUCAUACACCAUUCCAAAUCUCCAGCAGGAGCUUCAAUUUUAUUUGUGAAGAAAAAAGAUGGAUCAUUGCGGAUGUGUGUCGAUUAUCGAGGACUCAACAAAAUCACCAUCAAGAAAAAGUAUCCCCUACCUUUGAUAUCUAGACUCCUUGAUCGGUUGAAUCAAGCUAAGAUCUAUACAAAAAUAGAUCUACGAGGAACAUACAAUCUAAUAAGCAUUAAAGAAGGAGAUGAAUAGAAGAUUGCGUUUCAAAUAAGGUAUGGACAUUUCAAAUACAACAUCAUACCUUUUGGACUUAUAAAUGCACUAGUAGCAUUCCAACAUCUAAUGAAUGAUGUCUUUCAAGAGUUUUUAGAUGAUUUUGUUGUCUGUUAUCAAGACGAUAUUUUAAUCUAUUCUAAAAACACAAAAGAACAUGAAUUUCAUAUUUGUCUUGUAUUACAAAAAUUAAGAGUUGCGGGAAUCUAUGCCAAAAUAAAAAAGUAUGUAUGUCACACUACUCAAAUCAACUUCUUAGGAUAAAUCAUUUUAAAUGAUGGACUUAUCAUAGAUCCUAAAAAAAUUCAAGCUAUUAUGAAUUAGAAGAUCCCAAAAAUAGUAAGAGAUGUCCAAUAUUUUUUGGUAUUUGCCAACUACUAUCAGAUCUUCAUCAAAGACUUCUCUCAAGUUGUAGCUCCAUUUACACAUUUGACUUAUAAUGUCAAACAUCAAUGGAAUCAAGAAGCGGAAGUAGUAUUUGAAGCUUUGAAGAUAGCCUUUGUUUAUGCACCUAUCUUAUAUUGCAUUGAUUUUUCUAUGCCAUUUUUUAUGAAAACAGAUGCAUCAGAAUUUAUUUUGGGUGUUGUAUUGUUAUAAAUGGAAAUAGAUGAUAAACUUCAUCUAAUAGCUUUUUAUUCCAAAAAAAUUUCAGCAACCAAGAUCAACUAAGAGAUCCACGACAAAGAACUUCAUGCAAUCAUACAUUCGUUCCAAUAAUGGCACCAUUAUCUAGAAGUUGUUUCUAGCCAAGUCACUAAGUAUACAGAUCACUAAGUAUACAGAUCACAAGAACCUUGAAUAUUUUAUUUGAGUACAUGUUUUGAAUUGUCGCCAAGCCCGUUGGAAUAUGUCUUUGUCAAGAUUCAAAUUCAAGAUCACUUAUCAAUCAGAAAAACAAGGUUUGUCAGAUCCAGUCUCUCGACGAUCUUAUCUUAUACCAAAGGAAAGAAAUGAUGUUUUUUAUCAACAAGAGACAAUUCUCUUAAACCCAAAGCAUCUUCAUCUUCGAGCAAUGAAAUCAACACUGUUGAUUCAACUUUCAUUAAGCAAGUUCAGACAAGUAUGUCUUCUAAUCCUCUUAUUCGUGAUAUUAAAGAAAAUCUUUCAAAGUCUCAUGAUACUUCUAAGUUUAAAUUCAAGAACAAUCUAUUAUAUUUUGAGGGAUGUCUAUAUAUUCUAGAAGGUGAAGCUCGAUUACAUGUUCUUCAAGCUUAAUAUGACUUUUCAAUAGCAGGUAUCAAGGACAAGAACAUGAUAAAAAUAAAUAAAUAAGUUACACUUCUUUCAAAGAAAGAUGAAAAAAUAGAAAUAACUUGAUAUAUAUAUAUAUAUAUAUGUAUAUUAAAAAAGAAACUAGAAUGGCUAUUGCCAAAAGCCAAGAAAACUAGAAACCCUUGAAAUUAGACUAGAAACAAGAAAGGAGUUGACAAAAGUGAAGAAGGCUUCACUCUUGUCUCUAUAUAUACUAUCUAAUUAGGGACUACAUGGCAAUGUUCUAUAGGACCUUUAAUAUGUGUUGACUUAGUAGGACACAUGCCUUCACUUACAAGGUAAGUUUUUCUAAGUGUGGGCUACAUAGUUAGCUUGGACUUCAAGCUAACAUGUGUGGCACAUGGCCAAUUUGUUGACCACAUUUCUAAUCCAAAAAGUCAAUUCAAGACACCUAUAAAGUCAAAACAGCAUCUAUGAAGCUCUUAGGAAGCUUCUAUGGCAAAUAUUAUAAAAUUAACUUACUUUUACUUAUUUUUACUUACUUCUACCUAUUUGUACAUGUAAUUACUAGCUUACAUGCAUAUGUUCGUGACAUUAUCUUCCCUUCUAGGGACAAGUUCCAUGAAAAGUGGUCAUCAUAUGUUGAAAAAAUCUAUGAUGCGACAAAUAGUAUUCACUACAUAUUCUGAUCUUUGUUCUCUUCAAAGAUGAUUGAUAGGACCUCUCAAUCAUCGAUAGUGUCUCAUACCAAGGUGGAAAGUCCACCUAAUUAUUUGAUCAUUGUUGAGGCCUUCAUAACUUCCUUCAAAUCAAACAUUUGGAACAUCGUCAAGAAUUGUUCGUACCUCUAAUAAAACCACCAAACAUCGGGAGUCCCUUCUAAGGUCAUGAUACCAAAUGCAUUGUCAUAUGGCAUGAUUUGCUAUAUUGGAAUACAUUGGAUAUCUAACUAGAUAGAGUGAAGCUUAAACUUUUAUAUUAAUCUUCUCUUAGCUUCCAAAACUCUUUUAUUUUGCAUAAAACUCAAAAUAUAAUAAAAUCCCUUCAAAACAUAUUUUUUCAGCAAAAGGUUUUUUUUUUCUAAACUUUAGAAAUUCAUAACUCUUGAUCUAACUGUUUAGCUUGUUUAAAAUGUAUAAGAUAGGUAGAAUUCAUCCUUGAAUUUUACCACAAAAAAAACCAACUGCAAAUUCACUCUCAAUCUUUUGACAUCUAAGAAACGCUAGCAGAUGCUCUAAAUCCUAAUUUACAAGCAUCCAAGCACUAUUUUCUUAAUAUCUCAAGAAUCCAAUACUCAAAUAUCAUUAAAAUUAUGCACAAAGCUUACUAACAUGAAAUUACACAUUUCCUGAAAUUUUGAGCCAUAACCUUAUCAAAUUGCUCAAGAUAUAGCUCAAGACACAACCACUUGUAAAUUGGGUCACUUACUACCUUUAGAUUGUAUAUGCUGACUUUAAAAUCUAAUAACUCCUUUAUUUUAACUUGGAAUCCAGUAAGCAGUAUGUAAAAAGUAUAGCCGUAAAAGUGCUCUCUUUAAUCACAGUUGCCGAUCCUCAAUUUCUAUGUGUACGUGUGCGUUAUGCCAAAAAGAGUGAUAAUAGCUCUCAAAUCAAUACCUUAAGUUUGAGCACUUAUAUUCCCUUUAUAUAAACUCCAAACCAUACAAAAUUUGUACCAAAACCAUAGUCAAAAACCUAAACUUACUCAUCCUAGCCUUCAAAGCUCAAAUGGCCUCAAAAAUCUAACCCUAAUCUCUAAUAUGGCCUCGAGCAGCCUCCU
RNAcentral lists this long non-coding RNA (8164 nucleotides) under Physcomitrium patens. RNAcentral's name for it is "long non-coding RNA (PPAT_LNC008129)". Lineage: Eukaryota; Viridiplantae; Streptophyta; Bryopsida; Funariales; Funariaceae. The record is from RNAcentral.